UGCGUAGACUGGCGCGGCCUGUGUCUGGGCCUGUGCAUAGUAGGAUAGGAAGGUGCACCUACAGGCUAGGCCUGCAAUGCGUAGCUGACUAAGGAGGCAUGUUGCUGCCUUGGGCAAUGUGUUGAUGCCCCCUUGCGCGUCGUCCGCUGCUUGGGCAGUGUGCACCGCCAGUUGGGCGGUGUGCUGUCGCCAUCUUGGGUGGUGUGCCACCAUCAGUCGAGAGGCUUUCUCUAUUUUUUACACCGUUGUCACGUCAUGUCACGUCACUCCUUUCCCUUUCAACUUUCUCUCUCUUCAACAUAUUUGGCCACUUGGCACAAAUCUAACGGUCUCCAUUUUCUAUA
RNAcentral lists this long non-coding RNA (344 nucleotides) under Carica papaya (papaya). RNAcentral describes it as "long non-coding RNA (CPAP_LNC005637)". Lineage: Eukaryota; Viridiplantae; Streptophyta; Magnoliopsida; Brassicales; Caricaceae. The record is from RNAcentral.